RNAcentral lists this ribosomal RNA (690 nucleotides) under Salmonella enterica subsp. enterica serovar Oranienburg. Its description in RNAcentral is "bacterial LSU rRNA". It matches the Rfam family "Bacterial large subunit ribosomal RNA", at positions 329 to 923 of the family's 2925-position model. The record is from RNAcentral. RNAcentral also lists the same sequence under 1 other name. Lineage: Bacteria; Pseudomonadati; Pseudomonadota; Gammaproteobacteria; Enterobacterales; Enterobacteriaceae.
UUAGUGGAAGCGUCUGGAAAGGCGCGCGAUACAGGGUGACAGCCCCGUACACAAAAGCGCAUGUGCUGUGAGCUCGAUGAGUAGGGCGGGACACGUGGUAUCCUGUCUGAAUAUGGGGGGACCAUCCUCCAAGGCUAAAUACUCCUGACUGACCGAUAGUGAACCAGUACCGUGAGGGAAAGGCGAAAAGAACCCCGGCGAGGGGAGUGAAAAAGAACCUGAAACCGUGUACGUACAAGCAGUGGGAGCCCCACCACUAAGCCAGUGGUGAACUCCACAUACGCAUCCUUUGCUGAGGAUGCGGUUAACGGAGCGAAAGCGACGUUCAACCGCAAAAGAAGCAGAGGGGGCUUAGUGGUGGGGUGACUGCGUACCUUUUGUAUAAUGGGUCAGCGACUUAUAUUCUGUAGCAAGGUUAACCGAAUAGGGGAGCCGGAGGGAAACCGAGUCUUAACCGGGCGUUAAGUUGCAGGGUAUAGACCCGAAACCCGGUGAUCUAGCCAUGGGCAGGUUGAAGGUUGGGUAACACUAACUGGAGGACCGAACCGACUAAUGUUGAAAAAUUAGCGGAUGACCUGUGGCUGGGGGUGAAAGGCCAAUCAAACCGGGAGAUAGCUGGUUCUCCCCGAAAGCUAUUUAGGUAGCGCCUCGUGAAUUCAUCUCCGGGGGUAGAGCACUGUUUCGGCUAGG